This 228-nucleotide ribosomal RNA is filed under the name uncultured Bacteroides sp. RNAcentral's name for it is "partial 16S ribosomal RNA". It matches the Rfam family "Bacterial small subunit ribosomal RNA", at positions 383 to 607 of the family's 1533-position model. Lineage: Bacteria; Pseudomonadati; Bacteroidota; Bacteroidia; Bacteroidales; Bacteroidaceae. The record is from RNAcentral.
CUGAACCAGCCAAGUAGCGUGAAGGAUGAAGGGUCCUACGGAUUGUAAACUUCUUUUAUACGGGAAUAAAGUAUCCUACGUGUAGGAUUUUGUAUGUACCGUAUGAAUAAGCAUCGGCUAACUCCGUGCCAGCAGCCGCGGUAAUACGGAGGAUGCGAGCGUUAUCCGGAUUUAUUGGGUUUAAAGGGAGCGUAGAUGGGUUGUUAAGUCAGUUGUGAAAGUUUGCGG